CAGCAAAUUCCAAGGCACUGUGAAGAAUGUCACAUUACAGGUAAGUGCCAGGUGGUAUGGGAGCCAUAAGGAGCGAUUCCUGACCACGGCACCCAAAGGUGGUGGCCCCCACGGCUGCGUUCUCCAGGUAGGAGAAGCAUGAAGGGCGUUGCAGGCUGCAAGCAGAGCGUGCACGGUCCGGAUGUGGGCGACCACGAUUGUCUGGGGCGGCCACACGCUGCUCGGUGUAGGAGGGCUGUUUGAUGGGGAUUUGCACAGUUCUUCAUGGGUUUGAAUAGUCACUGUCCUCAUCUUUCUGACUCUUACUCCCUUGGUUGUCACUCAAUAUUUGGAGGAAAAUAAUGAUCCUUCACAAAAAGGAUAUGCCCCUUUUCUGCUGAGAUUUUCAGUCCAACUCAAAACACAUGAAAGACUUUUUUUUUAAAGAGUAUCUGGGAUACAUUAGAUCAAGAUUUCUCAACCUCUGUGCUAUUGACAUUUGGGCCACAUAAUUCUGCGUCGUCGGGGCAGUCCUGUGCAUUGUAGGAUGUUUAGCAGCAUCCCUGGCUACUCACUAGAUGCCAGGAGCCCUUCCCCAGUGUUAUAAUCAAAAACAUCUCUAGACAUGGCCAAAUGUCCCCUUGAGGCCACUGCAUGGGUUAGUGCCGGUAACACACACUGGGUAACUAGAAGAAGAAAUACGUUACUAGCCUGUCAACGCUGCACAGAAGAGGCUUUGUAAAGCCUGAGGGGCUCGGGCCUCUGCUUUCUCUGGGCUUAUUUUGCUCUAGAAUACAAGCUGCCUGUUCCUUUCAUCUCCAGAUGACCACCCAACAUGAUUAUGACAAGUAACCACGGAAUUUGAAGAACAAACCUUGGCUGCUUCUUCGCUUAGUGACCCAAGUGCCAUUUCUUUGCAGCGCUCAUAGGUCUGCGCUACACUGAAAAUGCUAAGUUAUGUUUGCACCAGGACAAUAAAAUCCUACUCAGCAAUAAAGGAGAAGAAGCUAUUGACAAACAUGACAACGUGGGCAAAUCUCAAAGGCAGGAUGCUGGGGGAAAGAGGACAGGCUCGAAAGGUUAAAUACUGCCUGGGUCCAUUUACGUGACUUUCUGGAAAAGGCAAGACUGGAGCGGGAGCAGCCAACCUUUUCAGCAGCGCAACUUCAGACGGACAACGGGAGAGUCUCUAAGCUUUUUCGGUGGUAGCCUGCUGCACCAAACAUCCUCAGGAGCUGUUGAUUCUUUCCCCCUUGGCUGACUGUAAGCUGUGAAACGAGGCAAAAAUGAAGCCCCUCCGUGUCUGCAGCAUGAAGGAAGGUGGGGGGCAAAGAAUCACUUGCUCUGGGAGAGCUGACGCCAUGUCAGGAGGACACUCAAGCAGGCCUGUGGAGAAGGACGUGUGGAGAGGAACGAGGCCUCCUCACAACAGCCAGCAUCACGUUUCCAUCUGGAUGAGUGAGCCGUCCUGGAAACGGAUCCUCCAGCCCCAGUGACGCCUUCCCAUGACCGCAGCCCUGGCCGACAUCUUGACUGCAGCCUCAUGAGAGACCUUGAGCCAGAAAUACCCAGUUAAACGGCUCCUGGAUUCCUGACCCACAGAAACUCUGUGACAGGAUCGAGGGACAUGGUGACCGACCCAAUCGAGCUGUGAUGGAAUCAAGAGGAGGACCUGGCGACCCUAGCGGCCAGACCACUCCUGGGCAUUGGUUUGAGGAUCACCCAGCAUCACCCUUCUUAUGUGCCUGACAGCAAAGCCCUGCAACCUGAUAGCCAGGCCUGCUUUCAUAUACACACAGGCCCCUGAGAAUGCGGCCUUUAUAGGAAUCUCCGGGGUUGUGUUGUCUGAACCAUCGAAUGUCCUGUGUGUCCAGUGCUGGGGAAUGCAUGAGUCCACUUCAGCACUCAGCAGAGAAGCGACUGGGCAAAGAGUGUGCCCUUAGGGUCCUUAAAUGGAAUUUUAAAUUUUAACAACUUACCUCCGCUUCAAUGCAGACUGUUACUCUGACAGAACGCAAACUCCGUGUCCCUAAACUUGAGGAAAAAUUCUUCAGCGUUUGCUGCUAGCACGGUACAUUACACAUUGAGGGGGGCCCCUUAAGGAUUUUGAAUUCCUUGUAUUCGUACUUCACUGGGUCAUGGGAACCACCACUUUAGUGUCUGCGCAGAGGACUUCUUCCUCUGGGUUUGUCAAGGUUGUAGGUUUGCUCUGACUUCAGCUGUGGCAACAAAGAGAGGCUCCAAGUGUAGCCUGAGGCAGAAGGAAAAGGCAAGUCAACCUGUCACCUUUUUGAUCCAUAGGUUUCCAUCUAUAUUAUUGCUCGUCCCCUCGGGGCUUGGGCUUAAACCCUCUUCUCUCCAGUCUUCUCACUAACAGAGCUGACAAACCGACUCACCCCCAAACUCGAUGCUUAGUCUCUAGUGACGGGAAGCCAUGUCUCAGUGCCAACAUUAUUUAUGUUAUUGGCAUGCCUGAAUCAGAUAAAUAGCUUCAACAGCUGCAGAGCACAGGGCAGGAAACAAAAUUUACCAAUUUUCACUCUUGCCAAGACAAAUCCACAAGUAGCUUAGCCAGAUUGCCUACAACUUCUUACCAGUAAUUUCAAGGUGAUUUUACUCUGGAAAAGAAAAAGGAGAAACAGAAGGCAGAGUCCUGGAACUUCUCCUUUGUCGCAGUCCUCCGUCUCUUCUCACACUUGGAGUGACGGGAACAGAGAACGAGGAUGGACACGGUAUGAUUGAUACACAGACAAAAUCUCACCGUGGUUACGACUUUCAGGGGGAAUUUAGACCACAGCCUCAGCUUCCCAGUGCUCACUACCCUUUGGAGUAGUUCUGUUUUUAAAAAUCAAAAUAAAAAAGCAAUAUUUGGAAGCUUCAAACAGGAUAUAUCAUAAGAGAUGAACAGCAUUUCUCUCCAUUGAAAGCGGUGCUUUACAGCGGAGCUCAGUUCCUAGGGGACUGAAAGUUCCCAGCUGGUGAUUGGCACAGAGAAGAUGAGGAGGUGGAGGACUCGAGAGGGGUCUGUGCUUGAGACGACGAAGCAGCUGUGGAACAUUCCCUGAGAUUACAGGCCCGCCAUGCUAUGCGUGCCUGCAUCACCUGGAGUCUUUCCUGCUCCCGUCCUUCCGACGCCUGUCCCCAGACUAACCCUUCUCAUCCACACAGCUGCCUUGGUCACGUCACGCCUCCCCUUUACUGAAUCCCCCAGGCCUCCAAGAAUGUCAGUUAUGUCCUAGCCUGGCCUGUAUAUUGUGCAAGAACCUGGCUGCCUCUGACACGUAAUCUCCCUCUGUCUCCAGCGGGAAUCUGCUCCUCCAGUCUACAGGUUCUGCAUCGCUUUCUACGUGCACAGCUCUACACCGCCCUGUGUGGUGGUCUCCAUUCUCUUCACCUGGAACAUCCUUCUCCUGCCCUCUUCUCAACCAACUCCAAGAAGUGACACAGAGAGUGGGAUUUGGAAUUAGGUGGGUCUGGGCUAGAUUCUAGCUCUACAACCUGCUUGCUGUGUGUCGCUGGCAGGUGUCUCAUCUCCUCUGACCCUCAGCUUCCUCAUCUAAGGAGAAUGUUCACCCUGGGUUCAUGGUAGAUGCUAAGGAAAAGUUAACUCCGUUUUUCUACAUAUUUACCCAACUCCUGUGCACUCUUCCAAGCUCCUAAAUCAACUAAUUUCUAUUAAAUGGGUCAUAAAAUGGGGUUUAUAGAUGAGAAUAAGGUUUAGUGCAGUAAAACUGUCACCAAGGAAUGGGCCAGGCCAGGAACCCAGAAGUCACAAGACCGUCUCAGAACAGAGCUUAGAGGCCAAGGCACAUGGGCCCAUCCUCUGCCAGUGACACCCUGAAAUUUCAGUUUCGAGGGAGUGGAACCCAAUACAAGAUUUGGAAAAGAGCCAAGCAGUCCAUGGAUGGGAAAUGAGAGCAUUGCUGUGACUCACUGCUGGGCAGGUGACAGAGCUCCUGAAUAAGGUAUUUUUAUAAUUCCUGCCAGAUUUACAAAAGAUGCCAAUGAACAGAUUCAGCUCUAUGAUUCUUGAACCUUAAUUGAAAAAGAAGAAAGGCAGAUGUGUUAGAUGUGUUUCUGAUGCCUCAGCCCCUUUGGAAGAAAUUGGCCCACCAACAGACUGUUACUUUGGCCGGUAACUUGCCCUGCGAUGGAAGCCUUCUUUAGGCAUAUCUGAUUGAUGCAGGGGUGGGCACCUGAGCAAAGGGCAGCCGAUCCCAUAGGCUGGAGAGUAACUCUGACUAUGUCCUAGUGCAAAAGGAUGAGCUGAGCUGAUCAGAUUCCCUGUAUUUCAAGAACUGGAACAGGAAACACGGAAGGAAUGAGCCCAUAGUAACAAGAGUAGAAACUAUAAGGAUCUACUCUAGGGGCCGGCCCCAUGGCUAGUGGUUAAGUUCUCGUGCUCCAGUUUGGUGGCCUGGGGUUCACUGGUUGGGAUCCUGGGCACGGACCUACACACCUCUCAUCAAGGCAUUCUGUGGUGGCAUCCCACGUAGAAGACUUAGAAUGACCUGCAACUAUGAUAUACAACUAUGUGCUGGGGCUUGGGGAGAAAAAAAGAAAAAAGGAGGAAGAUUAGCAACAGAUCUUAGCUCAGGGCCAGUCUUUCUCACCAAAAGUAAAUAAAUGCAACUGUUUCUUAAAAAAAAAAAAAAAAGGAUCUACUCUACCCAUGGAGUGUCGGGACCAGGCAAGCAAAAGUCAUGAGCAAGCCAGAGUUAAGAAAGUUCAGAAACUGCCAAUAAGCAGAACCAGUCCGUGAGCAGAAAGAGGAGAACUGAGCAGAGGCACAAGCAGAAGCAAAAAACCAUGAGAAAGAGAUGGAGAAAGCAGUGGGUCCUGGAGCUGACAGUUCCUCAGGCUACCUCAGUCUUUGGAGCUAUCUCACUUCCUACAAGAAAACCCCCUUGUCCAGGCUAACUUACAUCAGUAUCCCUUAUAAACAAAAGCACCCAACUGGAACAGUCGGAAAGCAGAGAAAUAUUUUACUACUAGGAAAAUAUAAAUACACAUACUCUGGAUACACAUGCUAUUCUACAAGUCACAAAACC
Long non-coding RNA from Equus caballus (horse), 5030 nucleotides. NCBI's taxonomy places the organism in Eukaryota, Metazoa, Chordata, Mammalia, Perissodactyla, Equidae. The record is from Ensembl.